This 244-nucleotide ribosomal RNA is filed under the name uncultured bacterium. RNAcentral's name for it is "partial 16S ribosomal RNA". It matches the Rfam family "Bacterial small subunit ribosomal RNA", at positions 524 to 767 of the family's 1533-position model. The record is from RNAcentral.
UACGAAGGGGGCUAGCGUUGCUCGGAAUUACUGGGCGUAAAGCGCACGUAGGCGGAUUUGUAAGUCAGGGGUGAAAUCCCGGGGCUCAACCUCGGAACUGCCUUUGAUACUGGCAAGCUAGAGUCCGGAAGAGGUAAGUGGAACUCCUAGUGUAGAGGUGGAAUUCGUAGAUAUUAGGAAGAACACCAGUGGCGAAGGCGGCUUACUGGUCCGGAACUGACGCUGAUGCGCGACAGCGGUGGGA